CCAAAGUCAUUACCCUAACCCUGUAAAGGGAGGGGGAUGCCUAAGGCAGGGCUAGUGACUGGGGUGAAGUCGUAACAAGGUAGCCGUACUGGAAGGUGCGGCUGGAUCACCUCCUUUUUAAU
This 122-nucleotide ribosomal RNA is filed under the name Rickettsiaceae bacterium. RNAcentral describes it as "partial 16S ribosomal RNA". It matches the Rfam family "Bacterial small subunit ribosomal RNA", at positions 1421 to 1533 of the family's 1533-position model. Lineage: Bacteria; Pseudomonadati; Pseudomonadota; Alphaproteobacteria; Rickettsiales; Rickettsiaceae. The record is from RNAcentral.